RNAcentral lists this ribosomal RNA (514 nucleotides) under uncultured bacterium. RNAcentral's name for it is "bacterial SSU rRNA". It matches the Rfam family "Bacterial small subunit ribosomal RNA", at positions 8 to 518 of the family's 1533-position model. The record is from RNAcentral.
AGAGUUUGAUCAUGGCUCAGGAUGAACGCUAGCGGCAGGCCUAAUACAUGCAAGUCGAACGGUAAACGCCCCGUUCGGGGGUGUGAGAGUGGCGCACGGGUGCGUAACGCGUAUGCAACCCACCCGCUGCCGGGGGAUAGCCCGGAGAAAUCCGAAUUAAUACCCCAUGAGGAGUAACCAAGGCAUCUUGGUUAUUUCAAAACUUCGGUGGCGGCGGACGGGCAUGCGUGCCAUUAGAUAGUUGGCGGGGUGACGGCCCACCAAGUCGACGAUGGCUAGGGGAUCUGAGAGGACGGUCCCCCACACUGGUACUGAGACACGGACCAGACUCCUACGGGAGGCAGCAGUAAGGGAUAUUGGUCAAUGGGGGGAACCCUGAACCAGCCCAUGCCGCGUGAGGGAAUAAGGCCCUACGGGUCGUAAACCUCUUUUGCCGGGGGAUAAGGACGCCUACGUGUAGGUGUUUGAAGGUACCCGGAGAAUAAGCAUCGGCUAACUCCGUGCCAGCCGCCGC